GACGAACGCUGGCGGCGUGCCUAAUACAUGCAAGUCGAGCGAACCACUUCGGUGGUUAGCGGCGGACGGAUGAGUAACACGUGGGCAACCUGCCUGUAAGACUGGGAUAACACCGGGAAACCGAUGCUAAUACCGGAUAAUCCUUUUCCUCUCAUGAGGAAAAGCUGAAAGUCGGUUUCGGCUGACACUUACAGAUGGGCCCGCGGCGCAUUAGCUAGUUGGUGAGGUAACGGCUCACCAAGGCGACGAUGCGUAGCCGACCUGAGAGGGUGAUCGGCCACACUGGGACUGAGACACGGCCCAGACUCCUACGGGAGGCAGCAGUAGGGAAUCUUCCACAAUGGACGAAAGUCUGAUGGAGCAACGCCGCGUGAGCGAUGAAGGCCUUCGGGUCGUAAAGCUCUGUUGUUAGGGAAGAACAAGUACCGGAGUAACUGCCGGUACCUUGACGGUACCUAACCAGAAAGCCACGGCUAACUACGUGC
Molecule: ribosomal RNA, 485 nt
Filed under: unidentified low G+C gram-positive bacterium
Lineage: Bacteria; Bacillati; Bacillota
Description: bacterial SSU rRNA
Rfam family: Bacterial small subunit ribosomal RNA
Source: RNAcentral